Molecule: ribosomal RNA, 379 nt
Filed under: uncultured bacterium
Lineage: Bacteria
Description: bacterial SSU rRNA
Rfam family: Bacterial small subunit ribosomal RNA
Source: RNAcentral
GACGAACGCUGGCGGCGUGCUUAACACAUGCAAGUCGAGCGGUAAGGCCCUUUCGGGGGUACACGAGCGGCGAACGGGUGAGUAACACGUGGGUGACCUGCCCUCAGCUCUGGGAUAAGCCUGGGAAACCGGGUCUAAUACCGGAUAUCACCUUGGGAGGCAUCUUCCGGGGUUGAAAGUUUUUGGCGGCUGAGGAUGGGCCCGCGGCCUAUCAGUUUGUUGGUGGGGUAGUGGCCUACCAAGGCGACGACGGGUAGCCGGCCUGAGAGGGCGACCGGCCACACUGGGACUGAGACACGGCCCAGACUCCUACGGGAGGCAGCAGUGGGGAUAUUGCACAAUGGGCGAAAGCCUGAUGCAGCGACGCCGCGUGAGGGGA